AUCAACUUUCGAUGGUAGGAUAGAGGCCUACCAUGGUGGUAACGGGUAACGGGGUGUUAGGGCACGACACCGGAGAGGGAGCCUGAGAAACGGCUACCACAUCCAAGGAUGGCAGCAGGCGCGCAAAUUACCCAAUCCCGACACGGGGAGGUAGUGACAAUAAAUAACAAUACGGGGUUCUUUAGGAUUUCGUAAUUGGAAUGAGUACAAUUUAAAUCUCUUAACGAGGAACAAUUGGAGGGCAAGUCUGGUGCCAGCAGCCGCGGUAAUUCCAGCUCCAAUAGCGUAUAUUAAAGUUGUUGCAGUUAAAAAGCUCGUAGUUGAAUUUCGGGGUUAGUAGAUUGGUCGUGCCACUGGUACGUACUGGUCUCACUGAUUCCUCCUUCCUGAUGAACUGUAAUGCCAUUAAUUUGGUGUUGCAGGGAAACUGGACUGUUACUUUGAAAAAAUUAGAGUGUUUAAAGCAAGCUAACGCUUGAAUACAUUAGCAUGGAAUAAUGAAAUAGGACGUUCGAUCCUAUUUUGUUGGUUUCUAGGAUUGACGUAAUGAUUAAUAGGGAUAGUUGGGGGCAUUAGUAUUCAAUUGUCAGAGGUGAAAUUCUUGGAUUUAUUGAAGACUAACUACUGCGAAAGCAUUUGCCAAGGAUGUUUUCAUUAAUCAAGAACGAAAGUUAGGGGAUCGAAGACGAUCAGAUACCGUCGUAGUCUUAACCAUAAACUAUGCCGACUAGGGAUCGGAUGAUGUUAAUUUUUAAUGACUCAUUCGGCGCCUUACGGGAAACCAAAGUGUUUGGGUUC
Molecule: ribosomal RNA, 798 nt
Filed under: uncultured Glomeromycotina
Lineage: Eukaryota; Fungi; Glomeromycota
Description: SSU rRNA
Rfam family: Eukaryotic small subunit ribosomal RNA
Source: RNAcentral